RNAcentral lists this ribosomal RNA (253 nucleotides) under uncultured bacterium. RNAcentral describes it as "partial 16S ribosomal RNA". It matches the Rfam family "Bacterial small subunit ribosomal RNA", at positions 524 to 776 of the family's 1533-position model. The record is from RNAcentral.
UACAGAGGUCUCGAGCGUUAGGCGGAAUCACUGGGCUUAAAGCGUGUGUAGGUGGAUCGUUAAGUACCUUGUGAAAUCCCACGGCUUAACCGUGGAACUGCUUGGUAUACUGGCGAUCUUGAGCCAGCUAGGGGCUACCGGAACAAAUGGUGGAGCGGUGAAAUGCGUAGAUAUCACUUGGAACGCCAAUGGUGAAAACAGGUAGCUGGGGGUGUGCUGACGCUGAGGCGCGAAAGCCAGGGGAGCAAACGGG